Long non-coding RNA from Rhineura floridana, 197 nucleotides. RefSeq lists it as uncharacterized. Lineage: Eukaryota; Metazoa; Chordata; Lepidosauria; Squamata; Rhineuridae. The transcript has 3 exons. The record is from RefSeq and is a predicted model, not a curated record.
UGUCCGGCAGAGAGGGAGUCGGGGCAGAAGAGCUGGGGCAGUUCCCUCUGAAAAAGCAGACCAAAAGCCACCGAGAUCUUUCCUUCAGGACAUGGAUUGCGCUGGAAUCAGGCCUCAAUCUGGCUUCAUGGAGCUGGAACUGAGGCUUGGCCGUUUCUCUGAGAAAAGGACCAUCCUUCAGGAGGUGCUUCUGGAGU